RNAcentral lists this long non-coding RNA (546 nucleotides) under Homo sapiens (human). RNAcentral's name for it is "HSALNT0329902". The record is from RNAcentral. Lineage: Eukaryota; Metazoa; Chordata; Mammalia; Primates; Hominidae.
GUGCAAGCGCAGGCCUCCAAAGGGUUUGGGCUUCUUGCCCAACCGCCGCGCUUAUCUCCGAGUCUGCCCCCAGUCUGCCCUCUCGCAGGCCGAGAAAGGACCAGAACACGUUGGGACGAAGACAACCUCAGGGAGAGGGACAAAGAGGCAGAGACCGGGACGGAGACUGGGACGGAGGUAGAAACUGAGAAAGGGAGAGUGCCAGGGACGGCUUUGCAUCCUCUCCGCUGCUCCCAUGCCCUCCAGUCCUGCCAAAAGGGAGGAGGAAAGGUCGAGCCCUAAUCCCCCAGGGCACCUCUCCCACGCCCGGAAGGGUGGCUGGACCCUGGCAACCAGUUUAGUGUGGGGACGGAAGCUGGACAUCCAGAAUUGAGACUUGGCCUGGGCAACAAGCGCAGAGGCCCAGCAGAGGGGUACCCGUCUGUUUCUCCCCACUUCCAUCCCCAAGGGCCCGGCCUAGGUUCCUUCGAGGGAUGAAGGUCCGCAAGGCACAUCCCUACUUCCAAACCAAGGUUUGGGGCUGCCUUUUUGGGACAGGCGGACGCC